This 76-nucleotide transfer RNA is filed under the name Acidobacteriota bacterium. RNAcentral describes it as "tRNA-Lys". It matches the Rfam family "tRNA". From Rfam's summary of the family: Transfer RNA (tRNA) molecules are approximately 80 nucleotides in length. Their secondary structure includes four short double-helical elements and three loops (D, anti-codon, and T loops). The record is from RNAcentral. Lineage: Bacteria; Pseudomonadati; Acidobacteriota.
GGAACGGGAGCACGAGUGGCUGUGCCCUUGCCUCUUAAGCAAGUCCGUGUGGGUUCAAGUCCCAUCCGUUCCACCA